GACGAACGCUGGCGGCGUGCUUAACACAUGCAAGUCGAACGGAAAGGCCCUGCUUGCAGGGUACUCGAGUGGCGAGCGGGUGAGUAACACGUGGGUGAUCUGCCCUGCACUUCGGGAUAAGCCUGGGAAACUGGGUCUAAUACCGGAUAGGAGCCAUUUUUAGUGUGAUGGUUGGAAAGUUUUUUCGGUGUAGGAUGAGCUCGCGGCCUAUCAGCUUGUUGGUGGGGUAAUGGCCUACCAAGGCGGCGACGGGUAGCCGGCCUGAGAGGGUGGACGGCCACAUUGGGACUGAGAUACGGCCCAGACUCCUACGGGAGGCAGCAGUGGGGAAUAUUGCACAAUGGGCGCAAGCCUGAUGCAGCGACGCCGCGUGGGGGAUGACGGCCUUCGGGUUGUAAACUCCUUUCGCUAGGGACGAAGCUUUUGUGACGGUACCUAGAUAAGAAGCACCGGCUAACUACGUG
RNAcentral lists this ribosomal RNA (464 nucleotides) under uncultured bacterium. RNAcentral describes it as "partial 16S ribosomal RNA". It matches the Rfam family "Bacterial small subunit ribosomal RNA", at positions 28 to 507 of the family's 1533-position model. The record is from RNAcentral.